UUAAACGAGAAUAUCUUUAAUUUUAGAUACCCGAAGUAAGAAGAGCUAGCUGUCGAUAGUGGGGAUAAUGUAUAGUUCUGUAGUAUUAUAAUGUGGCAAAAUUAUAUUCAAAUCAACAGCUAGGGGCGACAGGCCUCCCAAUUUUUAUUUAUAACUGGAUCUAGCUGAAAAAUAUCUAGUAUUUUAAGACAAAUUUGAAAAGCUAAGCUUUCAAAUAAACAAAAAUGGGUAUUUUAGGGAAAAUUGCAGCUUAUUAAUAUAAAAGUGCCUAAUUUAACACAAAAAUAAUACUACGGAAAAAUUUUGUUUUGUAGGCUACGAUAAGUAUAAAAAUUGACUUUUUGUUUAAUUAAUGUUUAAAUUAGUAUUAACUAAAUAAAAGAAAUAAGGAACUCGGCAAACCAAUCUCUCAACUGUUUAUCAAAAACAUAGCUAGUUGAUUACAUAACUAGUUUACUCUGCCCAGUGAUUAGAUUUAAAUUAAAUGGCCGCAGUACACUGACUGUGCAAAGGUAGCAUAAUCAAUUGGCUUUUAAUUGAAGUCGGGCAUGAAAGAGUUAAUGGGGGAAAGCUGUCUUAUGGCUUUUUUUGAGAAAUUACUAAGCAAGUGCAAAUACUUGCUAACAGAAAUAAUAGACGAGAAGACCCUAUAAAUUUUCAUUAAUUGAAGCUUUGAACUUUCUCCGUUUUUGUUGGGGCAACAAGUUAACAAAAAUAAUUUUAAUAAAUCUAACUAUCCUUUUUAGAGAAAUAGAGCGAGUUUUACUAAAUAUAAUUAAAUUACUAUAGGGAUAACAGCAUAAUUUUUUAUUUAAGAUUGUGACCUCGAUGUUGGAUUAGGGACUUAUUAGAUAAGCCAUUUAAUUAAGAGGUUCUGUUCGAACCAAUACACCUACAUGAUCUGAGUUCAGACCGG
RNAcentral lists this ribosomal RNA (916 nucleotides) under Clausilia dubia. RNAcentral's name for it is "partial 16S ribosomal RNA". The stretch from base 373 to 621 matches the Rfam family "Archaeal large subunit ribosomal RNA", at positions 1786 to 2143 of the family's 2987-position model. Lineage: Eukaryota; Metazoa; Mollusca; Gastropoda; Stylommatophora; Clausiliidae. The record is from RNAcentral.